This 253-nucleotide ribosomal RNA is filed under the name uncultured bacterium. RNAcentral's name for it is "partial 16S ribosomal RNA". It matches the Rfam family "Bacterial small subunit ribosomal RNA", at positions 524 to 776 of the family's 1533-position model. The record is from RNAcentral.
CACGUAGGGCGCAAGCGUUGUCCGGAAUUAUUGGGCGUAAAGAGCUCGUAGGCGGUCUGUUGCGUCCGCUGUGAAAACUCGGGGCUUAACUCGGAAAGGUCAACUGAUACUGUGCGACUAGAGUGCGGAAGGGGCAACUGGAAUUCUCGGUGUAGCGGUGAAAUGCGUAGAUAUCGAGAGGAACACCUGCGGCGAAGGCGGGUUGCUGGGCCGACACUGACGCUGAUGCGCGAAAGCCAGGGGAGCGAACCGG